This 111-nucleotide ribosomal RNA is filed under the name uncultured bacterium. RNAcentral's name for it is "partial 16S ribosomal RNA". It matches the Rfam family "Bacterial small subunit ribosomal RNA", at positions 1373 to 1482 of the family's 1533-position model. The record is from RNAcentral.
CCCGGGCCUUGUACACACCGCCGUCACACCACGAAAGUUGGCAAUACCCGAAGCCGGUGGGCUAACCCGCAAGGGAGGCAGCCGUCGAAGGUAGGGUUGAUGAUUGGGGUG